This 465-nucleotide ribosomal RNA is filed under the name uncultured bacterium. RNAcentral's name for it is "bacterial SSU rRNA". It matches the Rfam family "Bacterial small subunit ribosomal RNA", at positions 338 to 795 of the family's 1533-position model. The record is from RNAcentral.
CCUACGGGUGGCAGCAGUGGGGAAUUUUGGACAAUGGGCGCAAGCCUGAUCCAGCCAUGCCGCGUGCAGGAUGAAGGCCUUCGGGUUGUAAACUGCUUUUGUACGGAACGAAACGGCCUUUUCUAACAAAGAGGGCUAAUGACGGUACCGUAAGAAUAAGCACCGGCUAACUACGUGCCAGCAGCCGCGGGAAUACGUAGGGUGCAAGCGUUAAUCGGAAUUACUGGGCGUAAAGCGUGCGCAGGCGGCGAUGUAAGACAGUUGUGAAAUCCCCGGGCUCAACCUGGGAACUGCAUCUGGGACUGCAUCGCUGGAGUACGGCAGAGGGGGAUGGAAUUCCGCGUGUAGUAGUGAAAUUCGUAGAUAUGCGGAGGAACACCGAGGGCGAAGGCAAUCCCCUGGGCCUGUACUGACGCUCAUGCACGAAAGCGUGGGGAGCAAACAGGAUUAGAUACCCGAGUAGUC